UCCCUACCAGCUCAGCGGUAAAGAAUCUGCCUGUAAUGCAGGAGACCUGGGUUCGAUCCCUGGGUUGGAAA
RNAcentral lists this transfer RNA (71 nucleotides) under Ovis aries (sheep). It matches the Rfam family "tRNA". From Rfam's summary of the family: Transfer RNA (tRNA) molecules are approximately 80 nucleotides in length. Their secondary structure includes four short double-helical elements and three loops (D, anti-codon, and T loops). Lineage: Eukaryota; Metazoa; Chordata; Mammalia; Artiodactyla; Bovidae. The record is from Rfam by way of RNAcentral.